This 448-nucleotide long non-coding RNA is filed under the name Erythranthe guttata (spotted monkey flower). RNAcentral's name for it is "long non-coding RNA (EGUT_LNC000738)". The record is from RNAcentral. Lineage: Eukaryota; Viridiplantae; Streptophyta; Magnoliopsida; Lamiales; Phrymaceae.
AACUAUCCGAUUUUAUAGUUGACUCUGACUGUAGAUGAUUACAAUAUUUUACGUUUUCCGACAACAAUGAUCUCUUCUUUGUUGUGGACUGUGAUAAAACAAAUUUCAUAGGAAACAAAUAUUUAUGAGUCAAAAAAUAGUGCGACCAUAGAUUGUAGAUCUAAAACACAAGCUUGUUUACAAACUCCAUUUUUUUAGUAAUCAACCAUGGAAGAAUUCUGAACCGUCGCAUAUGGUCGUUGCGUAUUGUUGCAUACCGUUGAUGUAGGAGACUUCGAUUUGUCCUUCGUAGUCGCUGAGAAUGUUGUCAAAAAGAGAAAUCAUGGGGUAAAUGCACAAAAAGUAGGUUAAUAGAAGUCGGUGAGAGCGAUGGGUGUAUAGGAAACUACCUAUCUUUCUUCUUACCGUCUUUCACCAUUGUUUAUUUUUUUUGGUUUUCUGGUUUUCU